UGAGUAACCUGCCCUUGACUCUGGGAUAAGCCUGGGAAACCGGGUCUAAUACUGGAUACGACCUUCUGGCGCAUGCCAUGUUGGUGGAAAGCUUUUGUGGUUUUGGAUGGACUCGCGGCCUAUCAGCUUGUUGGUGGGGUAAUGGCCUACCAAGGCGACGACGGGUAGCCGGCCUGAGAGGGUGACCGGCCACACUGGGACUGAGACACGGCCCAGACUCCUACGGGAGCAG
This 232-nucleotide ribosomal RNA is filed under the name uncultured bacterium. RNAcentral describes it as "partial 16S ribosomal RNA". It matches the Rfam family "Bacterial small subunit ribosomal RNA", at positions 118 to 347 of the family's 1533-position model. The record is from RNAcentral.